RNAcentral lists this ribosomal RNA (253 nucleotides) under uncultured bacterium. Its description in RNAcentral is "partial 16S ribosomal RNA". It matches the Rfam family "Bacterial small subunit ribosomal RNA", at positions 524 to 776 of the family's 1533-position model. The record is from RNAcentral.
UACGUAGGGUGCAAGCGUUGUCCGGAAUUAUUGGGCGUAAAGAGCUCGUAGGCGGUCUGUUGCGUCGGCUGUGAAAACCCGGGGCUCAACUCCGGGCCUGCAGCCGAUACGGGCAGACUAGAGUUCGGCAGGGGAGACUGGAAUUCCUGGUGUAGCGGUGAAAUGCGCAGAUAUCAGGAGGAACACCGGUGGCGAAGGCGGGUCUCUGGGCCGAUACUGACGCUGAGGAGCGAAAGCGUGGGGAGCGGACAGG